Molecule: ribosomal RNA, 253 nt
Filed under: uncultured bacterium
Lineage: Bacteria
Description: partial 16S ribosomal RNA
Rfam family: Bacterial small subunit ribosomal RNA
Source: RNAcentral
UACGUAGGGUGCGAGCGUUAAUCGGAAUUACUGGGCGUAAAGCGUGCGUAGGCGGUUCCUCAAGUCCGUUGUGAAAGCCCCGGGCUCAACCUGGGAAUGGCAGUGGAAACUAGGGGACUGGAAUCUGGCAGAGGGGGGUGGAAUGCCGCGUGUAGCAGUGAAAUGCGUAGAGAUGCGGCGGAACACCGAUGGCGAAGGCAGCCCCCGGGGCUGAGAUUGACGCUCAGGCACGAAAGCGUGGGGAGCAAACAGG